GAUUUAUAAAGAAGUGGCGAGAGACAGGCUCUAUGACCCGCUGGCAACCAUCAAGAGAUUGAACGGUGCUAAUUCCUGUCCCAAUUAAGGGAAAAUAUAAAUA
This 103-nucleotide non-coding RNA is filed under the name Sphingobacterium paucimobilis HER1398. Its description in RNAcentral is "SAM riboswitch aptamer (S box leader)". It matches the Rfam family "SAM riboswitch aptamer (S box leader)". Rfam says of the family: The SAM riboswitch is found upstream of a number of genes which code for proteins involved in methionine or cysteine biosynthesis in Gram-positive bacteria. The SAM riboswitch acts at the level of transcription termination control. Lineage: Bacteria; Pseudomonadati; Bacteroidota; Sphingobacteriia; Sphingobacteriales; Sphingobacteriaceae. RNAcentral also lists the same sequence under 1 other name. The record is from Rfam by way of RNAcentral.